Molecule: ribosomal RNA, 252 nt
Filed under: uncultured bacterium
Lineage: Bacteria
Description: partial 16S ribosomal RNA
Rfam family: Bacterial small subunit ribosomal RNA
Source: RNAcentral
UACGGGGGGGCAAGCGUUGUUCGGAAUCACUGGGCAUAAAGGGCGCGUAGGCGGUCUUGUAAGUCGGAUGUGAAAGACCUUGGCUCAACCAAGGAAUGGCAUCCGAUACUGCGAGGCUUGAGGCCGAGAGGGGCAAGCGGAACUCCUGGUGGAGCGGUGAAAUGCGUAGAUAUCAGGAGGAACACCGGUGGCGAAGGCGGCUUGCUGGAUCGGUUCUGACGCUGAUGUGCGAAAGCUAGGGGAGCAAACGGG